AACGAACGCUGGCGGCGUGCCUAACACAUGCAAGUCGAGCGAGAAAGGGGAGCAAUCCCUGAGUAAAGCGGCAAACGGGUGAGUAACACGUGGGCAACCUGCCCUCGAGUGGGGAAUAACAUCUCGAAAGAGGUGCUAAUACCGCGUAGCAUCCGGACUUCCUUGGAGGUCCGGAUCAAAGGUAGGGAUCUUCGGACCUGCCGCUCGAGGAGGGGCCCGCGCCUGAUUAGCUAGUUGGCGGGGUAAGAGCCUACCAAGGCGACGAUCCGUAGCUGGUCUGAGAGGACGACCAGCCACACUGGGACUGAGACACGGCCCAGACUCCUACGGGAGGCAGCAGUGGGGAAUUUGGACAAUGGGCGCAAGCCUGAUCCAGCCAUGCCGCGUGUGUGAAGAAGGCC
RNAcentral lists this ribosomal RNA (401 nucleotides) under uncultured bacterium. RNAcentral's name for it is "bacterial SSU rRNA". It matches the Rfam family "Bacterial small subunit ribosomal RNA", at positions 29 to 416 of the family's 1533-position model. The record is from RNAcentral.